RNAcentral lists this transfer RNA (97 nucleotides) under Methanomassiliicoccales archaeon RumEn M1. It matches the Rfam family "tRNA". From Rfam's summary of the family: Transfer RNA (tRNA) molecules are approximately 80 nucleotides in length. The record is from Rfam by way of RNAcentral. Lineage: Archaea; Methanobacteriati; Thermoplasmatota; Thermoplasmata; Methanomassiliicoccales.
GGACUCGUAGUGUAGCUUGGAUAUCACUGGGGCCUCCGGUGGACCUAAAGCGGUCCAGGGAAAGCCUCAAACGGGGGUUCGAAUCCCCCCGGGUCCG